CAGCUUGCUGCUUCGCUGACGAGUGGCGGACGGGUGAGUAAUGUCUGGGAAACUGCCUGAUGGAGGGGGAUAACUACUGGAAACGGUGGCUAAUACCGCAUAACGUCGCAAGACCAAAGAGGGGGACCUUCGGGCCUCUUGCCAUCAGAUGUGCCCAGAUGGGAUUAGCUUGUUGGUGAGGUAACGGCUCACCAAGGCGACGAUCCCUAGCUGGUCUGAGAGGAUGACCAGCCACACUGGAACUGAGACACGGUCCAGACUCCUACGGGAGGCAGCAGUGGGGAAUAUUGCACAAUGGGCGCAAGCCUGAUGCAGCCAUGCCGCGUGUAUGAAGAAGGCCUUCGGGUUGUAAAGUACUUUCAGCGGGGAGGAAGGUGUUGUGGUUAAUAACCGCAGCAAUUGACGUUACCCGCAGAAGAAGCACCGGCUAACUCCGUGCCAGCAGCCGCGGUAAUACGGAGGG
Molecule: ribosomal RNA, 463 nt
Filed under: Salmonella enterica subsp. enterica serovar Typhimurium
Lineage: Bacteria; Pseudomonadati; Pseudomonadota; Gammaproteobacteria; Enterobacterales; Enterobacteriaceae
Description: bacterial SSU rRNA
Rfam family: Bacterial small subunit ribosomal RNA
Source: RNAcentral